RNAcentral lists this ribosomal RNA (725 nucleotides) under uncultured Fusobacterium sp. Its description in RNAcentral is "bacterial SSU rRNA". It matches the Rfam family "Bacterial small subunit ribosomal RNA", at positions 28 to 776 of the family's 1533-position model. Lineage: Bacteria; Fusobacteriati; Fusobacteriota; Fusobacteriia; Fusobacteriales; Fusobacteriaceae. The record is from RNAcentral.
GAUGAACGCUGACAGAAUGCUUAACACAUGCAAGUCGACUCGAGUCUUCGGACUUGGGUGGCGCACGGGUGAGUAACGCGUAAAGAACUUGCCUCUUAGACCGGGACAACAUCUGGAAACGGAUGCUAAUACCGGAUAUUAUGGUUUUUUCGCAUGGAGGAAUCAUGAAAGCUGGAUGCGCUAAGAGAGAGCUUUGCGUCCCAUUAGCUAGUUGGUGAGGUAACGGCCCACCAAGGCAAUGAUGGGUAGCCGGCCUGAGAGGGUGAACGGCCACAAGGGGACUGAGACACGGCCCUUACUCCUACGGGAGGCAGCAGUGGGGAAUAUUGGACAAUGGACCGCAAGUCUGAUCCAGCAAUUCUGUGUGCACGAUGACGUUUUUCGGAAUGUAAAGUGCUUUCAGUCGGGAAGAAGUCAGUGACGGUACCGACAGAAGAAGCGACGGCUAAAUACGUGCCAGCAGCCGCGGUAAUACGUAUGUCGCAAGCGUUAUCCGGAUUUAUUGGGCGUAAAGCGCGUCUAGGCGGCAAGGAAAGUCUGAUGUGAAAAUGCGGAGCUCAACUCCGUAUGGCGUUGGAAACUGCCUUACUAGAGUACUGGAGAGGUAUGCGGAACUACAAGUGUAGAGGUGAAAUUCGUAGAUAUUUGUAGGAAUGCCGAUGGGGAAGCCAGCCUACUGGACAGAUACUGACGCUAAAGCGCGAAAGCGUGGGUAGCAAAACUGG